UACGGGGGGGGCAAGCGUUGUUCGGAAUUACUGGGCGUAAAGGGCUCGUAGGCGGCCAACUAAGUCAUACGUGAAAUCCCUCGGCUUAACCGGGGAACUGCGUCUGAUACUGGAUGGCUUGAGAUUGGGAGAGGGAUGCGGAAUUCCAGGUGUAGCGGUGAAAUGCGUAGAUAUCUGGAGGAACACCGGUGGCGAAGGCGGCAUCCUGGACCAACACUGACGCUGAGGAGCGAAAGCCAGGGGAGCAAAGCGGG
RNAcentral lists this ribosomal RNA (254 nucleotides) under uncultured bacterium. Its description in RNAcentral is "partial 16S ribosomal RNA". It matches the Rfam family "Bacterial small subunit ribosomal RNA", at positions 524 to 777 of the family's 1533-position model. The record is from RNAcentral.